Molecule: unclassified non-coding RNA, 716 nt
Filed under: Hevea brasiliensis (rubber tree)
Lineage: Eukaryota; Viridiplantae; Streptophyta; Magnoliopsida; Malpighiales; Euphorbiaceae
Source: RNAcentral
GAACAUUCUUGCUCCCAGUUUAAGUUUCAGUAAAAACCAAUUGAAAAUAAAUAAAUAAAUAUCUUGCUUGGCUUCACACACGACAAGCACUUACAUUUCUCAUAAAUCCAAAAAAUAUAAUAAUAUUGGCUUGUUUGGUCAUUUCGUUCUUCAUGGCAACAUAUAGCCAGUGUCAUGUGUAGUACGUAUCUGUCUGUGUAAAUGGCUCAUAAUGCUUGCAAAUGAGUUGGGAGUUCUAUUCACAUUGAGAUAAUCAUAAUGGACUUUGACACGAGAACAGACGAGAGUUUCGUAGCAGGUAAAGGAAGGCGAUCUGCAGCGCAAUGAUCGAGUACAUAUCUCAUGAUACAGGAGAUUAAAGUUUAAAUCGCAACAAUCCCCCAUCCCUUUACGAAUUUCUGAGGUAAAAUAAAAUUAAAAUAAAAGAAAAGAAAGGUGACCUGUCUGCUUUAGCCAAAGUAGGGGUGAGUUGUGCAGGUGUAAGAACAUGAAACAUGAAAAAGUGAAUGCCUUGGUGAUCCCGAGGAAGAAAGCACGUCCGAUCUCUAAAGAGAGCAAAGACACAAAACAAUGACUCCCCUUUCCCUUUUUCACUCUGAUAAAGGAAACACCAACAACCAAUCUUUAGAACAAAGAGACAAAAACAAUGACUCCCCUUUCCCUUUUUCACUCUGAUAAAGGAAACACCAACAACCAAUCUUUAGAACAAAGAGACA